UAUGUUCUAUAUUAUAUGGUUUUACUUGUUCCAACCAUUUUAUUCCUAAUAUUAUAUCUGCUUUUUGCAUUUCUUCUUUUACUUCAAAUUCUAUUUUCAUUUUUCUAACUCCUAAUAUUAUUUCUUUUUCUGCUAGAUUUUUAUUAUUUAUCAAACUUCUUGGUAAAUCUGGGCAUAUAUUAUUAUCGGUUUUUAUAUCUUCAUUUUUUACUAGAUAUUUUGC
This 223-nucleotide long non-coding RNA is filed under the name Capsicum annuum. RNAcentral's name for it is "long non-coding RNA (CANN_LNC001073)". Lineage: Eukaryota; Viridiplantae; Streptophyta; Magnoliopsida; Solanales; Solanaceae. The record is from RNAcentral.